RNAcentral lists this transfer RNA (65 nucleotides) under Staphylinoidea sp. 9 KM-2017. RNAcentral describes it as "tRNA-Trp". The record is from RNAcentral. Lineage: Eukaryota; Metazoa; Arthropoda; Insecta; Coleoptera.
AAGGAUUUAGGUUAACGAAACUCGCAACCUUCAAAGUUGCACAUGAAGGGGCACUUUAAGCCUUA